This 102-nucleotide small nuclear RNA is filed under the name Mnemiopsis leidyi (sea walnut). The record is from RNAcentral. Lineage: Eukaryota; Metazoa; Ctenophora; Tentaculata; Lobata; Bolinopsidae.
CCACUUUGGUAGUGCAUAUACUAAAAUUGGAACAAACAGAAAACAUUAGCAUGGCCCCUGCCCAAGGAUGACACUUAAAUUCACGAAGCGUUCCAAAUUAUU